Molecule: ribosomal RNA, 252 nt
Filed under: uncultured bacterium
Lineage: Bacteria
Description: partial 16S ribosomal RNA
Rfam family: Bacterial small subunit ribosomal RNA
Source: RNAcentral
UACGGGAGGGGCAAGCGUUAUCCAGAAUGACUAGGCGUAAAGUGUCCGCAGACUGUAAUGUAAGUUAGUUGUUAAAUUUUAGAGCCUAACUUUGAACUAGCAAUUAAUACUGCCUUACUGGGGUUUGAUGCAGAAAAGUGGUAUUUCAUUUGAAGGGGUAACACCUGUAGAUAAAUGAAGGAACUCCGUAAGCGAAGGCAACUUUUUGGCACAUACUGACGUUGAGGGACGAAAGUAUAGGUAGCGAACAGG